UUAGAGUUUGUUUCUGGCUCAGGAUGAACGCUAGCGGCAGGCUUAACACAUGCAAGUCGAGGGGCAGCGAGAUCAGUGCUUGCACUGAUUGUCGGCGACCGGCGCACGGGUGCGUAACGCGUAUGCAACCUACCCAUUACAGGGGGAUAACACUGAGAAAUCGGUACUAAUACCCCAUAACAUCCAGGGAGGCAUCUUCUUGGGUUGAAAACUCCGGUGGUAAUGGAUGGGCAUGCGUUGUAUUAGUUAGUUGGUGGGGUAACGGCUCACCAAGACAACGAUACAUAGGGGGACUGAGAGGUAACCCCCCACAUUGGUACUGAGACACGGACCAAACUCCUACGGGAGGCAGCAGUGAGGAAUAUUGGUCAAUGGACGCAAGUCUGAACCAGCCAUGCCGCGUGCAGGAAGACGGCUCUAUGAGUUGUAAACUGCUUUUGUACGAGGGUAAACGCAGAUACGCGUAUCUGUCUGAAAGUAUCGUACGAAUAAGGAUCGGCUAACUCCGUGCCAGCAGCCGCGGUAAUACGGAGGAUUCAAGCGUUAUCCGGAUUUAUUGGGUUUAAAGGGUGCGUAGGCGGUCGGAUAAGUUAGAGGUGAAAUCCCGGGGCUCAACUUCGGAAUUGCCUCUGAUACUGUUCGGCUAGAGAGUAGUUGCGGUAGGCGGAAUGUAUGGUGUAGCGGUGAAAUGCUUAGAGAUCAUACAGAACACCGAUUGCGAAGGCAGCUUACCAAGCUACUUCUGACGUUGAGGCACGAAAGCGUGGGGAGCAAAAAGGAUUAGAUACCCUGGUAGUCCACGCAGUAAACGAUGAUAACUCGUUGUCGGCGAUACAGUGUCGGUGACUAAGCGAAAGCGAUAAGUUAUCCACCUGGGGAGUACGUUCGCAAGAAUGAAACUCAAAGGAAUUGACGGGGGCCCGCACAAGCGGAGGAACAUGUGGUUUAAUUCGAUGAUACGCGAGGAACCUUACCCGGGCUUGAAAGUUAGUGACGGAUCUUGAAAGAGGUCUUCCCUUCGGGGCACGAAACUAGGUGCUGCAUGGUUGUCGUCAGCUCGUGCCGUGAGGUGUCGGGUUAAGUCCCAUAACGAGCGCAACCCCUACCGUUAGUUGCCAGCAGGUCAAGCUGGGCACUCUGACGGGACUGCCGGUGUAAGCCGAGAGGAAGGUGGGGAUGACGUCAAAUCAGCACGGCCCUUACGUCCGGGGCUACACACGUGUUACAAUGGCAGGUACAGAGGGCAGCUACCCAGCGAUGGGAUGCGAAUCUCGAAAGCCUGUCUCAGUUCGGAUUGGAGGCUGAAACCCGCCUCCAUGAAGUUGGAUUCGCUAGUAAUCGCGCAUCAGCCAUGGCGCGGUGAAAAGGUUCCCGGGCCUUGCACACACCGCCCGUCA
This 1397-nucleotide ribosomal RNA is filed under the name uncultured bacterium. RNAcentral's name for it is "16S ribosomal RNA". It matches the Rfam family "Bacterial small subunit ribosomal RNA". The record is from RNAcentral.